RNAcentral lists this long non-coding RNA (856 nucleotides) under Gadus morhua (Atlantic cod). RNAcentral describes it as "lncRNA (ENSGMOG00000030721.1)". Lineage: Eukaryota; Metazoa; Chordata; Actinopteri; Gadiformes; Gadidae. The record is from RNAcentral.
AUACUGCUUAGUGUUCUUUGUUACUUCAGCUUUUGUACGUUCUAAAUAUCUGCUGUCAUUAAUUGCCACAGAAGUUAAACCCUACCCAAUGGAAUGACGUUAACCAACGACUUUGGUGCAGAGUUAGCAACUGGAUAAUAUCAAAGCUAAAAUAAUGGCCGUCAUUCACACAUGUUACAGUAGAAGAUACUCUAGAACUGUACGAGGUUAAAAAGGUAACAUGUAGUUUGUCCCAAGGUGUCUGCCUCCUCACCCAGAGCAAGACCUCCACCUCCUCACCCAGAGCCAGACCUCCACCUCCUGUCAGAAGUCCUCCAGAACAGCUGAAAGGCGAGGCUGGGGACCGGAGGCUUGUGGUGCCAGGAUGGACCAGAGACUGAGGCUGGAGACCAGGGGCCUGCAGCAACGGACCAGAGGGUAACCAUCACCAAGCUCAUUUGAAACGCUAAAAUCCACGGUAGUUUAGGUCUGGUUUUGAUCAUCUUAUGACUUUGAAUCUGUGCCAGGCUGUGUUUUGAGUUAAUUCAUACGGGGGUUAUUAAAGAGUCAUUUGAGCCAUGAAUGUUACUAGUGCUGCUACGACCAUAGUGGAUGAAUUGCUGAACGCGACAAUCUGCAGACGUUGUCUAAUUUAAGUGUUUAAAUUUGUCUUCCAUUUUACAAGUGAACCUCAGAUGCAGGAGGUGGGGUGUGAUGCGUCCCCAGGUGAUUUACUGCUGAGACCAACUGUUUGUAACCAGACCAGGAAUCCAUGGCUGAAGGAGCUGAUGGAGGAGCCGUGCUGAAGGAGCUGAUGGAGGAGUCGUGCUGAAGGCCCUGCCUUGUGGAGGAGCUGGUGGAGGACCUGCCUGGUGAA